UUUUCGAAGCAUUAAUAAGAUGUAUUUUAUUUACAAUAAAAAGAUUUUUAUAACGAACAA
Molecule: transfer RNA, 60 nt
Filed under: Janira maculosa
Lineage: Eukaryota; Metazoa; Arthropoda; Malacostraca; Isopoda; Janiridae
Description: tRNA-Val
Source: RNAcentral